UACAGAGGGUGCGAGCGUUAAUCGGAGUGACUGGGCGUAAAGGGCGCGUAGGCGGUUUUAUAAGUGAGAUGUGAAAGGCCUGGGCUUAACCUAGGAACGGCAUCUUAGACUAUAGGACUAGAGUGCAGUAGAGGGUGGCGGAAUUUCCGGUGUAGCGGUGAAAUGCGUAGAGAUCGGAAGGAACACCAGUGGCGAAGGCGGCCACCUGGACUGUCACUGACGCUGAGGCGCGAGAGCGUGGGUAGCAAACAGG
RNAcentral lists this ribosomal RNA (253 nucleotides) under uncultured bacterium. RNAcentral describes it as "partial 16S ribosomal RNA". It matches the Rfam family "Bacterial small subunit ribosomal RNA", at positions 524 to 776 of the family's 1533-position model. The record is from RNAcentral.